RNAcentral lists this ribosomal RNA (497 nucleotides) under uncultured bacterium. Its description in RNAcentral is "partial 16S ribosomal RNA". It matches the Rfam family "Bacterial small subunit ribosomal RNA", at positions 28 to 507 of the family's 1533-position model. The record is from RNAcentral.
GAUGAACGCUGGCGGCGUGCCUAAUACAUGCAAGUCGAGCGAACAGAUGAGGAGCUUGCUCCUCUGACGUUAGCGGCGGACGGGUGAGUAACACGUGGAUAACCUACCUAUAAGACUGGGAUAACUUCGGGAAACCGGAGCUAAUACCGGAUAAUAUAUUGAACCGCAUGGUUCAAUAGUGAAAGACGGUUUUGCUGUCACUUAUAGAUGGAUCCGCGCCGCAUUAGCUAGUUGGUAAGGUAACGGCUUACCAAGGCAACGAUGCGUAGCCGACCUGAGAGGGUGAUCGGCCACACUGGAACUGAGACACGGUCCAGACUCCUACGGGAGGCAGCAGUAGGGAAUCUUCCGCAAUGGGCGAAAGCCUGACGGAGCAACGCCGCGUGAGUGAUGAAGGUCUUCAGAUCGUAAAACUCUGUUAUUAGGGAAGAACAAAUGUGUAAGUAACUAUGCACGUCUUGACGGUACCUAAUCAGAAAGCCACGGCUAACUCCGUG